This 445-nucleotide ribosomal RNA is filed under the name uncultured bacterium. RNAcentral describes it as "partial 16S ribosomal RNA". It matches the Rfam family "Bacterial small subunit ribosomal RNA", at positions 354 to 796 of the family's 1533-position model. The record is from RNAcentral.
GUAAGGAAUAUUGGUCAAUGGACGCAAGUCUGAACCAGCCAUGCCGCGUGGAGGAUGAAGGUCCUCUGGAUUGUAAACUUCUUUUAUCUGGGACGAAAAAAGGGAAUUCUUUCUCGUCUGACGGUACCAGAUGAAUAAGCACCGGCUAACUCCGUGCCAGCAGCCGCGGUAAUACGGAGGGUGCAAGCGUUAUCCGGAUUCACUGGGUUUAAAGGGUGCGUAGGCGGGUAUGUAAGUCCGUGGUGAAAUCUCCGUGCUUAACUCGGAAACUGCCAUGAGUACUGCAUAUCUUGAAUGUUGUGGAGGUGAGCGGAAUAUGUCAUGUAGCGGUGAAAUGCUUAGAUAUGACAUAGAACACCAAUUGCGAAGGCAGCUCACUACACAAAUAUUGACGCUGAGGCACGAAAGCGUGGGGAUCAAACAGGAUUAGAUACCCGUGUAGUCC